UACGUAGGGUGCAAGCGUUGUCCGGAAUUAUUGGGCGUAAAGAGCUCGUAGGCGGUUCGUCACGUCGGCUGUGAAAUCCCGAGGCUCAACCUCGGGUCUGCAGUCGAUACGGGCGGACUGGAGUACUGCAGGGGAGACUGGAAUUCCUGGUGUAGCGGUGAAAUGCGCAGAUAUCAGGAGGAACACCGGUGGCGAAGGCGGUUCUCUGGGCAUUACCUGACGCUGAGGAGCGAAAGUGUGGGGAGCGAACAGG
Molecule: ribosomal RNA, 253 nt
Filed under: uncultured bacterium
Lineage: Bacteria
Description: partial 16S ribosomal RNA
Rfam family: Bacterial small subunit ribosomal RNA
Source: RNAcentral